Molecule: ribosomal RNA, 301 nt
Filed under: uncultured bacterium
Lineage: Bacteria
Description: partial 16S ribosomal RNA
Rfam family: Bacterial small subunit ribosomal RNA
Source: RNAcentral
CAGCAGCCGCGGUAAUACGUAGGGUGCGAGCGUUAAUCGGAAUUACUGGGCGUAAAGCGGGCGCAGACGGUUACUUAAGCAGGAUGUGAAAUCCCCGGGCUUAACCUGGGAACUGCGUUCUGAACUGGAUAGCUAGAGUGUGUCAGAGGGGGGUAGAAUUCCACGUGUAGCAGUGAAAUGCGUAGAGAUGUGGAGGAACACCGAUGGCGAAGGCAGCCCCCUGGGCCAAUACUGACGCUCAUGCACGAAAGCGUGGGGAGCAAACAGGAUUAGAUACCCGAGUAGUCCCUGUCUCUUAUAC